ACGGGAGGCAGCAGUGGGGAAUAUUGCACAAUGGGCGCAAGCCUGAUGCAGCGAUGCCGCGUGAGGGAAGAAGGUUUUCGGAUUGUAAACCUCUGUCAACAGGGACGAAAAUGACGGUACCUGUGAAGGAAGCUCCGGCUAACUACGUGCCAGCAGCCGCGGUAAUACGUAGGGGGCAAGCGUUAUCCGGAUUUACUGGGUGUAAAGGGAGCGUAGACGGUUCUGCAAGUCUGAUGUGAAAGGCAGGGGCUCAACUCCUGGACUGCAUUGGAAACUGUAGAACUAGAGUGCCGGAGAGGUAAGCGGAAUUCCUAGUGUAGCGGUGAAAUGCGUAGAUAUUAGGAGGAACACCAGUGGCGAAGGCGGCUUACUGGACGGUAACUGACGUUGAGGCUCGAAAGCGUGGGGAGCAAACAGGAUUAGAUACCCUGGUA
Molecule: ribosomal RNA, 434 nt
Filed under: uncultured Lachnospiraceae bacterium
Lineage: Bacteria; Bacillati; Bacillota; Clostridia; Lachnospirales; Lachnospiraceae
Description: bacterial SSU rRNA
Rfam family: Bacterial small subunit ribosomal RNA
Source: RNAcentral